RNAcentral lists this ribosomal RNA (496 nucleotides) under uncultured bacterium. RNAcentral's name for it is "partial 16S ribosomal RNA". It matches the Rfam family "Bacterial small subunit ribosomal RNA", at positions 28 to 506 of the family's 1533-position model. The record is from RNAcentral.
GAUGAACGCUGGCGGCGUGCCUAAUACAUGCAAGUCGAGCGAACAGACGAGGAGCUUGCUCCUCUGACGUUAGCGGCGGACGGGUGAGUAACACGUGGAUAACCUACCUAUAAGACUGGGAUAACUUCGGGAAACCGGAGCUAAUACCGGAUAAUAUAUUGAACCGCAUGGUUCAAUAGUGAAAGACGGUUUUGCUGUCACUUAUAGAUGGAUCCGCGCCGCAUUAGCUAGUUGGUAAGGUAACGGCUUACCAAGGCAACGAUGCGUAGCCGACCUGAGAGGGUGAUCGGCCACACUGGAACUGAGACACGGUCCAGACUCCUACGGGAGGCAGCAGUAGGGAAUCUUCCGCAGUGGGCGAAAGCUUGACGGAGCAACGCCGCGUGAGUGAUGAAGGUCUUCGGAUCGUAAAACGCUGUUAUUAGGGAAGAACAAAUGUGUAAGUAACUAUGCACGUCUUGACGGUACCUAAUCAGAAAGCCACGGCUAACUACGU